RNAcentral lists this ribosomal RNA (444 nucleotides) under uncultured bacterium. Its description in RNAcentral is "bacterial SSU rRNA". It matches the Rfam family "Bacterial small subunit ribosomal RNA", at positions 29 to 518 of the family's 1533-position model. The record is from RNAcentral.
AACGAACGCUGGCGGCAGGCUUAACACAUGCAAGUCGAGCGGGCCCUUCGGGGUCAGCGGCGGACGGGUUAGUAACGCGUGGGAACGUGCCCUUUGCUUCGGAAUAGCCCUGGGAAACUGGGGGUAAUACCGGAUGUGCCCUGAGGGGGAAAGAUUUAUCGGCGAAGGAUUAGCCCGCGUUGGAUUAGGUAGUUGGUGGGGUAAUGGCCUACCAAGCCGACGAUCCAUAGCUGGUUUGAGAGGAUGAUCAGCAACACUGGGACUGAGACACGGCCCAGACUCCUACGGGAGGCAGCAGUGGGGAAUCUUAGACAAUGGGGGCAACCCUGAUCUAGCCAUGCCGCGUGAGUGAUGAAGGCCUUAGGGUUGUAAAGCUCUUUCAGCUGGGAAGAUAAUGACGGUACCAGCAGAAGAAGCCCCGGCUAACUCCGUGCCAGCCGCCGC